RNAcentral lists this ribosomal RNA (495 nucleotides) under uncultured bacterium. Its description in RNAcentral is "partial 16S ribosomal RNA". It matches the Rfam family "Bacterial small subunit ribosomal RNA", at positions 28 to 507 of the family's 1533-position model. The record is from RNAcentral.
GACGAACGCUGGCGGCGUGCCUAAUACAUGCAAGUAGAACGCUGAAGGAGGAGCUUGCUUCUCUGGAUGAGUUGCGAACGGGUGAGUAACGCGUAGGUAACCUGCCUGGUAGCGGGGGAUAACUAUUGGAAACGAUAGCUAAUACCGCAUAAGAGUAGAUGUUGCAUGACAUUUGCUUAAAAGGUGCACUUGCAUCACUACCAGAUGGACCUGCGUUGUAUUAGCUAGUUGGUGGGGUAACGGCUCACCAAGGCGACGAUACAUAGCCGACCUGAGAGGGUGAUCGGCCACACUGGGACUGAGACACGGCCCAGACUCCUACGGGAGGCAGCAGUAGGGAAUCUUCGGCAAUGGACGGAAGUCUGACCGAGCAACGCCGCGUGAGUGAAGAAGGGUUUCGGAUCGUAAAGCUCUGUUGUAAGAGAAGAACGAGUGUGAGAGUGGAAAGUUCACACUGUGACGGUAUCUUACCAGAAAGGGACGGCUAACUACGUG